RNAcentral lists this transfer RNA (67 nucleotides) under Eulepethus nanhaiensis. Its description in RNAcentral is "tRNA-Leu". Lineage: Eukaryota; Metazoa; Annelida; Polychaeta; Phyllodocida; Eulepethidae. The record is from RNAcentral.
CUCAUGUUGGCAGAUUUAUGCAAUUGAUUUAAGCUCAAUUUAUGAAAGAACUCUAUUUCACAUGAGU